AAACAUCGCCUCUUGUAAACAUAAGAGGUCCCGCCUGCCCAGUGACUUCAGUUCAACGGCCGCGGUAUCCUAACCGUGCAAAGGUAGCGUAAUCACUUGUCUUUUAAAUGAAGACUUGUAUGAAAGGCAUCACGAGGGUCAAACUGUCUCCUUUUUCCAAUCAGUGAAACUAAUCCCCCCGUGAAAAAGCGGGGAUAAUAAUAUAAGACGAGAAGACCCUAUGGAGCUUUAAACUUAACAGCACUUGCCCUCAGCCAAAAUUAACCACUUCCCCAAUCUUGCUGUGAGUUUUAGGUUGGGGUGACCGCGGAGAAAAAUAAAUCCUCCCCAAUGAAAUAGAGCCACUCUUAAGUGGAAAGUUACACCUUGACACAUCAGUACCCUGACAUCUAUUGACCCAAUACUUUGACCAACGAACCAAGUUACCCUAGGGAUAACAGCGCCAUCCAUUUUGAGAGUUCCUAUCGACAAAUGGGCUUACGACCUCGAUGUUGGAUCAGGGUACCCAAGUGGUGUAGCCGCUACUAAUGGUUCGUUUGUUCAACGAUUAAAACCCCACGUGAUC
Molecule: ribosomal RNA, 565 nt
Filed under: Phrynopus inti
Lineage: Eukaryota; Metazoa; Chordata; Amphibia; Anura; Strabomantidae
Description: partial 16S ribosomal RNA
Rfam family: Bacterial large subunit ribosomal RNA
Source: RNAcentral